This 1169-nucleotide long non-coding RNA is filed under the name Anas platyrhynchos platyrhynchos (common mallard). Its description in RNAcentral is "lncRNA (ENSAPLG00000026663.1)". The record is from RNAcentral. Lineage: Eukaryota; Metazoa; Chordata; Aves; Anseriformes; Anatidae.
CCCCUCCCCGUAUGAUCCUCGCUCACCGGCGGGACCGAAUCCAUCCCAGCCUCCGCUGCUUGGAUUUCAGCCCCGAGCCUGAUUUUUUGGGGGAGCAAAGCGGCUUUUUGUGCCCCCCUCCAUGGCACCCCCUCAGGGUGUGCCCCGGUUUUGGCCCCAGAUGCAGGGGGGGGUAACGGGGAGGCGGCGGUGGCGGCGCGGGAGCCGGGUGUUUACGGAGGCGCAGGCGGCGUUGCACAACAGGCAGCACGGGUACACCGCGUCCCCGCUGCCGGAGGAAAUCCCCCCAAAUUCUUCCUACCGGCGAGGUGGCCGGAUGCGCUCAUGGCCAGAUCCGGCCCUGCGAGCCUCCUCGCCCCGCUCUGACCCCGGUUCCUGCAGCAAAACGGUGCCGCUGAGCGGGGACGAGGCACCCGCGGCACCCACACACGUGGGGACCCAGCGCCCCGCUCGUGCCCCUGCGCCACCGCAGGCCGGAUCCUGCCCUGCCACCUCCAACACCGCCAGCCCUGGGCCUUUCCACGUGCGUUUCAAACCCCAAAAUUUCCAGGUUGGGAUCCAAAUUUGCGUUGCCUCCAGCUGGGGCUGGAUCAAUGUCCCCAGCCCCGAGGCCGGCGGCGUUUCCUUCCAGCAGCUCCCACCGGGACGGCUUUUCCCCGGCCGCAGGACGCGCACAUUGCCGAGGUUCUCCCUCCUCCAGGGGGAAAAAAAAAAUUAAAAACCCGAAUUAUUAUUAAACAUGACGCGAGUGUUAAUGCAUUGAGAGAGGGGGGAAGGGUCUGAGGCUCCCUCCUGCACCCGGCGCGGGGGGGAAACCGCCGGAGAUAACGCCCCGAGCGCCGGGCGCAGGAUGCAGCGGGGCCGGAGCGGGGAUUAUAAAUAACGUCCGGCCCCGCCGCGCUGGCUGGGGGCCACUGGUAGCACAAAGUACAUUCCGGCCGGGACGUAACGAACUGUACCAGCCUCUGCCGGGGCCCCCUGGCCUCGUCCCACCGUCAGGAUUUGGGUGGCGGGGGGGGGUGAAGGGUGCGCAACCCCUUGGGGAUGUGCCGUGGGGUGGGGACGCAUCGCCGGACCCCCCGAUGUGCCCGAGUGGUUGUAGGGACACCUCGGUUAUGUUGGUUGCAUCCCACUCCUCAAAAUAAAAUAAAAUAAAUCCUGAAAAAACA